UACGGAAGGCAGCAGUGGGGAAUAUUGCACAAUGGGCGCAAGCCUGAUGCAGCCAUGCCGCGUGUAUGAAGAAGGCCUUCGGGUUGUAAAGUACUUUCAGUCGUGAGGAAGGUGUUAAGGUUAAUAACCUUAGCAAUUGACGUUAGCGACAGAAGAAGCACCGGCUAACUCCGUGCCAGCAGCCGCGGUAAUACGGAGGGUGCGAGCGUUAAUCGGAAUUACUGGGCGUAAAGGGCACGCAGGCGGUUAAUUAAGUUGGAUGUGAAAUCCCCGGGCUUAACCUGGGAAUGGCAUUCAAGACUGGUUAGCUAGAGUCUUGUAGAGGGGGUAGAAUUCCAUGUGUAGCGGUGAAAUGCGUAGAGAUGUGGAGGAAGUACCGGUGGCGAAGGCGGCCCCUGGACAAAGGACUGACGCCCGAUGUGCGAAAGCGUGGGGAGCGAAACAGGGAUUAGAUACC
This 457-nucleotide ribosomal RNA is filed under the name uncultured bacterium. Its description in RNAcentral is "bacterial SSU rRNA". It matches the Rfam family "Bacterial small subunit ribosomal RNA", at positions 340 to 786 of the family's 1533-position model. The record is from RNAcentral.